This 122-nucleotide non-coding RNA is filed under the name Hemiselmis rufescens. The record is from RNAcentral. Lineage: Eukaryota; Cryptophyceae; Cryptomonadales; Hemiselmidaceae.
AGGCGGUGGAGGAGGCGGAGGCGCUCGUCAAGCGCCUGUCGGUCGAGACGGGCGUGAUGCCCGUGGCUCACGAGAUGCCCCUCGACGUGUGAGUCAGUGUACAUAGCUCGGUAGAUCUUUCU